Molecule: long non-coding RNA, 580 nt
Organism: Cucumis melo (muskmelon)
Lineage: Eukaryota; Viridiplantae; Streptophyta; Magnoliopsida; Cucurbitales; Cucurbitaceae
Exons: 3
Source: RefSeq, a predicted model, not a curated record
UCCUCUUUUUCUUUUUUCAGCAUGCAUGGCAAAAGCAAUCCUCGUUUUCUUUUUCUUACCCCACCAUCCUGUACUAGUAAGUGUCAAGCAAGAAGGAAGUACAUUGAGAUACCUCCCAAUCAGACGAAGAAAGGCUUUACCGAUAGAAGAGGCGGUGGCGGUCCUAAGAAGAAGCCUGUCUCUCGCUCUAUUAAAAUCGACCUCCAGUUUCCUGUCGGCGGAAUCGGCUGCUACUUGAAGAAUGGUUGUUACUCUCAACGAGUCAGAAUCGGCGCUCUGGUUUACCUUGCUAUUGUGCUUGAGUGCCUCCCUGCUGAGUUAUAACGUUUAAGGUGGGUGGUAACCAAGAAUAUCUGCAUCAUAUGAUUCUUCCAAGAUUUUAGGUUUUGAUACUAUAGGCGAAUGAUCCUCAAGUCUAAUGGCGACAAGGGAUUAAUGUUGGUGUUAACAAGAACAAGAAAUUAUCUUCAAAGCUCUUGCAGGCUGAAGUGCCACUAAGCAGACAUGGAAGAAGCCAUAAGCUUGCUUCAACCAUUGUCAACCCCAGAAGAAGCAACAAUUCUUCAAGGUCAGAUGUGCC